This 468-nucleotide ribosomal RNA is filed under the name uncultured bacterium. RNAcentral describes it as "partial 16S ribosomal RNA". It matches the Rfam family "Bacterial small subunit ribosomal RNA", at positions 28 to 507 of the family's 1533-position model. The record is from RNAcentral.
GACGAACGCUGGCGGCGUGCUUAACACAUGCAAGUCGAACGGAAAGGCCCUGCUUUUGUGGGGUGCUCGAGUGGCGAACGGGUGAGUAACACGUGAGUAACCUGCCCUUGACUUUGGGAUAACUUCAGGAAACUGGGGCUAAUACCGGAUAGGAGCUCCUGCUGCACGGUGGGGGUUGGAAAGUUUCGGCGGUUGGGGAUGGACUCGCGGCUUAUCAGCUUGUUGGUGGGGUAGUGGCUUACCAAGGCUUUGACGGGUAGCCGGCCUGAGAGGGUGACCGGCCACAUUGGGACUGAGAUACGGCCCAGACUCCUACGGGAGGCAGCAGUGGGGAAUAUUGCACAAUGGGCGGAAGCCUGAUGCAGCAACGCCGCGUGCGGAAUGACGGCCUUCGGGUUGUAAACCGCUUUCGCCUGUGACGAAGCGUGAGUGACGGUAAUGGGUAAAGAAGCACCGGCUAACUACGUG